RNAcentral lists this long non-coding RNA (1553 nucleotides) under Androctonus crassicauda. Lineage: Eukaryota; Metazoa; Arthropoda; Arachnida; Scorpiones; Buthidae. The record is from RNAcentral.
GCUGUUUAAGCGAUGACGUUUGCUAGGUAAGCGCUUGUUCGGCAAGGUCAUCAAAUUGCUUGCCAACUGGAAGCGCCCAUUGUCUUCAGAUUGAAAAUAUAAAUCUUAAUAACAGGCUGAAAUAUUCGUGUUCUUGUUAACAUUUACAAUUAUUAUAUAUGUCAGUUAUCUAAUACGAUCAUUAAUAGGAGUAAAUAGUACAAUAUAAACUAAAAACUCAAUGGCAACAAUCUAUUUACCGCAAUUUUUAUUUACUGUACGUUUCUUUCGAUAUAGGGAUGAACCGUCUUGUUUUUCUUCUUUUUCGGCCACGACAAAAAUACCACUAUCGUGGUAGCUGGACGCCAUCUUGACUGAACGAAUUCUGCCUGGCUAGUACGCUUCGUGCGUAGAUGUGCGGACCGUACGCCUAUGGUAACUUCCAGUCGAACCUCGAACGCGUCUAUAACGAUAGGCCGUGUGUACAAAAGACUAGAUGGUUUAAAAUGUGAUGAUACGAUAUUUAAAAUAUCUCGAACAUUUUCAAAUUAUUUUUUUUCUUUCCAUAAAUAUGAAAGUUUUGAUUCUGUAUUUUAACAAUACGAAGGCGUAGUUGUUCACAUUUUCGAAGGCGUAAUAUUUCGAUAUGUUUGGCAAUUCAAAAUAAAUUAUAAUUCAGCCUUUUCACAUUUAAUUCCUGACUGGCCAAUGUCAAAAAUAUUUUAUUUCCAUAAUUUUUUUAUAAUAUCCGUAAAAAUCUAAUUCUGAAGUACUUUAAACUGUUCGAAGUGAAACGUCGCCAGAUUUGAUUUCAGAAUUACUCUGGAAAUGUUGAAUUUUAAAAUAUUUCGGAUUACGAAAAAGUCAAUGUGAUAAAGUAGAAAUUUACCAUUUUGCCGAUGUUAACAUACAGUAUAUGAUUAAAUGGAUGUAUAUUAGAACAGUUCCUCAGUAUGUGUUUCCACAGAGUCGCCAACAUAUUUAUAGGGAUCCACAAGUAUUCUAUGAAAAUAGAAGAAAUAUUUCAAUAAGAGUCAUAAAUAGAAAAAUAAUAGACCGUAUACAUCACUAUAUAGAAAAUAUUGAAUUAGGUUUUGUCUAUACUUCACUCUAUAGGUUUAUUGUAUUUUGUUUUUAUAUACUGAGAAAAAUGAUUCACUGGGAAUCCACCAGUUUCUUUUUUUAAAGGAAAAGAAACUCGGACUCCCAGUGAAGAGAGAUAGAGUUUGAGAAACAAUUCUAGAAUAAUCUGUCAAUAAUAUACAUUAUUUUAAAAAUUAUUAAUACUUAUUACAAAGAUAACAAGCUUAUAAAGAAAAUAUCUAUACGGUAUAUAAAAUGCAAUACAGUAGAGUCCCGAAAACUCGGUCUAAUGUGGACCGAAGGCUGGCCGAGUUUGUGAAAAUGCCGGGUUAUCGGGAAUGGGGAUAAAAAAAGAAUAACUACGAGUGUUUCCUCAGAAAAUACAGUACUGUACAUGUAUGUAUUGGUUGCUUGAGACUACAACAGAGAAUAAACUGCCCAAAUACAAUUAAACAAAGGAAAAGUACGUACUUUAUGGUUGGGUCUGACUA